This 345-nucleotide unclassified non-coding RNA is filed under the name soil metagenome. RNAcentral describes it as "partial contains 5.8S ribosomal RNA, internal transcribed spacer 2, and large subunit ribosomal RNA". The stretch from base 1 to 120 matches the Rfam family "5.8S ribosomal RNA", at positions 35 to 154 of the family's 154-position model. The record is from RNAcentral.
GAUGAAGAACGCAGCGAAAUGCGAUACGUAAUGUGAAUUGCAGAAUUCAGUGAAUCAUCGAGUCUUUGAACGCACAUUGCGCCCCCUGGUUUUCCGGGGGGCAUGCCUGUCCGAGCGUCAUUGCUGCCCUCAAGCACGGCUUGUGUGUUGGGCCUCCGUCCUCCUCCCGGGGGACGGGCCCGAAAGGCAGCGGCGGCACCGCGUCCGGUCCUCGAGCGUAUGGGGCUUCGUCACCCGCUCUUGUAGGCCCGGCCGGCGCUUGCCGACACAUCAAUCUUUUUUCCAGGUUGACCUCGGAUCAGGUAGGGAUACCCGCUGAACUUAAGCAUAUCAAUAAGCGGAGGA